AGAACUCUGCGGCAAACCCAUCAGGGCCUGGUGCUUUGUUCUUAGGAAUCCCCUUCAAGAUUCCUAUAAUCUCUUCAUCUGAAGGUAAGAGAAUGAGCUUAUAUGCUACCUCAGGAGGACAUCUAUAUGGUAGCAAAUCUCUCAGUUCUUCCUCAGAUAUAGAAACCACUUCAGAGUCUUUGGAACCCAAUAGGUUAUGAAAGUAAGCCACUGCCAUAUCUUUAAUCUGGGCUUUGCUUUUUUUCUUUUAAAGAGUUUCCAACAUUAAUAGCGAUUCUUGAUUUUAAUUGCUUUUUUUUAUAGCAGAGGUGGAGGUUGUAAUGCCACUCCAACUGCCUCUCUAACUGCCUCUCCAAUAGAUCCUACACUAGGGUAAAUUUCAAUGGUUCUUUGCUUCUUUUUUUUAACGAGUUUCCAACGUUAAUAACGAUUCUUGGUUUUAAUUGCUUUUUUUUAUAGCCGAGGUGGAGGUUAUAGCCAACGCCCUCCGAAAGGGAAAAGCCCACCCUUCACUAUUAUUCCGGGUGUUGAUGUUCCAGUUACUGUCAAUCCAUCCCCCACCCCAUCAA
This 569-nucleotide long non-coding RNA is filed under the name Brassica napus (rape). RNAcentral describes it as "long non-coding RNA (BNAP_LNC009073)". The record is from RNAcentral. Lineage: Eukaryota; Viridiplantae; Streptophyta; Magnoliopsida; Brassicales; Brassicaceae.